RNAcentral lists this long non-coding RNA (559 nucleotides) under Linum usitatissimum (flax). Its description in RNAcentral is "long non-coding RNA (LUSI_LNC006528)". Lineage: Eukaryota; Viridiplantae; Streptophyta; Magnoliopsida; Malpighiales; Linaceae. The record is from RNAcentral.
CACGAACUUGAAAUUCCUCCUUCCAAAAGAGUGCAAGACCGCCACUAUGACCAACAUUAUCAACUGUAAAACAACUAUCAAACUCCAAAAACUGUUUAAGACCCUCUAUUUUACUACUGUCUACAAAAGUUUCAGAUAAGAACACUACAUCCGGCCUGUUGGCAACUACCAACUCCUUCGGCACCUGAAUUGAUCGAGGUUGGCCCAAUCCUCAAUAAUUCCAUGCCAAUACGAUGAUAUCGAUUUCAUGUUUUCUAUGUCACUGAGUCUUCCCAUCGUGUGCAUCUCUAUGCCAUCCUCCUCUGAGACCUCCAGCUCGCCUUCCGUGCGAUGACGCUUCUGCUUCAAACCAAUUUCCAUCAGAUCUUCCUCCCUAUUUAUCGCUCCCGCAAUAUCAGCUAUGCCCGGCGGGUUGAACUGCCCUUGACCUUGCUGUGUUUCCCAUCGGCUGGUUUGUAUGUUCCUCAACCAGCCACCUCGAUCCUCUUUCUGUAUCUUCCACUUUUUAGAAACCAUCCUUCUUUUGCAAAAAAUUUGUGAAGAAAAAGAUUCAGUCGAG